CGGCGUAUGAACAGACUGCGUCAGGUUCUCCGACGUCUCUCCCUCUUCCACAAAAGGUAAAGACAUGAAAUGGUAGUUAUCUCGGCCGGAGUUUGGCAGUAAUGGUGAGAAAAAGUAACAGACCAGGGAACAUAGAACCCUUUUUUUUAAAAAGGGGUCCUAUGUUCCCCAGUCUCAUACAAAGAGGGGAACAUAGGACCCGGGGAACAUAGACACGCUCCCUAGUGUUAAACCUGGGCCUGUUUCGAUGAACACAAAAUGGAUAUCCUGGCAGGAAUGGUAGAAAGACACACACGAAGCUCUUCCUCAACAGCUCUCAGUCUCUCUCUGUUUUAAUGUUUAAUACCAUUAGGGCUGGCGCGAAUGCCAUUUUUCAGGCUUCGAAUACUCGUUGGUUUUCCGAGCGAAUAUUCGAAUA
Gadus macrocephalus (Pacific cod) is the source of this 418-nucleotide long non-coding RNA. RefSeq lists it as uncharacterized. Lineage: Eukaryota; Metazoa; Chordata; Actinopteri; Gadiformes; Gadidae. The record is from RefSeq and is a predicted model, not a curated record. The transcript has 2 exons.